GAUGAACGCUGGCGGCGUGCCUAAUACAUGCAAGUCGAGCGAACAGACGAGGAGCUUGUUCCUCUGACGUUAGCGGCGGACGGGUGAGUAACACGUGGAUAACCUACCUAUAAGACUGGGAUAACUUCGGGAAACCGGAGCUAAUACCGGAUAAUAUAUUGAACCGCAUGGUUCAAUAGUGAAAGACGGUUUUGCUGUCACCUAUAGAUGGAUCCGCGCCGCAUUAGCUAGUUGGUAAGGUAACGGCUUACCAAGGCGACGAUGCGUAGCCGACCUGAGAGGGUGAUCGGCCACACUGGAACUGAGACACGGUCCAGACUCCUACGGGAGGCAGCAGUAGGGAAUCUUCCGCAAUGGGCGAAAGCCUGACGGAGCAACGCCGCGUGAGUGAUGAAGGUCUUCGGAUCGUAAAACUCUGUUAUUAGGGAAGAACAAAUGUGUAAGUAACUAUGCACGUCUUGACGGUACCUAAUCAGAAAGCCACGGCUAACUACGUG
RNAcentral lists this ribosomal RNA (497 nucleotides) under uncultured bacterium. RNAcentral describes it as "partial 16S ribosomal RNA". It matches the Rfam family "Bacterial small subunit ribosomal RNA", at positions 28 to 507 of the family's 1533-position model. The record is from RNAcentral.